GACGAAACGCUGGCGGCCGUGCUUAACACAUGCAAGUCGAACGGAAAGGCCCUGGCUUUUGUGGGGUGCUCGAGUGGCGAACGGGUGAGUAACACGUGAGUAACCUGCCCUUGACUUUGGGAUAACUUUCAGGAAAACUGGGGCUAAUACCGGAUAGGAGCUCCUGCUGCAUGGUGGGGGUUGGAAAGUUUUCGGCGGUUGGGGAUGGACUCGCGGCUUAUCAGCUUGUUGGUGGGGUAGUGGCUUACCAAGGCUUUGACGGGUAGCCGGCCUGGGAGGGUGACCGGCCACAUUGGGACUGAGAUACGGCCCAGACUCCUACGGGAGGCAGCAGUGGGGAAUAUUGCACAAUGGGCGGAAGCCUGAUGCAGCAACGCCGCGUGCGGGAUGACGGCCUUCGGGUUGUAAACCGCUUUCGCCUGUGACGAAGCGUGAGUGACGGUAAUGGGUAAAGAAGCACCGGCUAACUACGUGCCAGCAGCCGCGGUGAUACGUAGGGUGCGAGCGUUGUCCGGAUUUAUUGGGCGUAAAGGGCUCGUAGGUGGUUGAUCGCGUCGGAAGUGUAAUCUUGGGGCUUAACCCUGAGCGUGCUUUCGAUACGGGUUGACUUGAGGAAGGUAGGGGAGAAUGGAAUUCCUGGUGGAGCGGUGGAAUGCGCAGAUAUCAGGAGGAACACCAGUGGCGAAGGCGGUUCUCUGGGCCUUUCCUGACGCUGAGGAGCGAAAGCGUGGGGAGCGAACAGGCUUAGAUACCCUGGUAGUCCACGCUGUAAACGGUGGGU
Molecule: ribosomal RNA, 781 nt
Filed under: uncultured organism
Description: SSU rRNA
Rfam family: Bacterial small subunit ribosomal RNA
Source: RNAcentral